Molecule: ribosomal RNA, 627 nt
Filed under: Bacillus subtilis
Lineage: Bacteria; Bacillati; Bacillota; Bacilli; Caryophanales; Bacillaceae
Description: bacterial SSU rRNA
Rfam family: Bacterial small subunit ribosomal RNA
Source: RNAcentral
GCGUAAAGGGCUCGCAGGCGGUUUCUUAAGUCUGAUGUGAAAGCCCCCGGCUCAACCGGGGAGGGUCAUUGGAAACUGGGAAACUUGAGUGCAGAAGAGGAGAGUGGAAUUCCACGUGUAGCGGUGAAAUGCGUAGAGAUGUGGAGGAACACCAGUGGCGAAGGCGACUCUCUGGUCUGUAACUGACGCUGAGGAGCGAAAGCGUGGGGAGCGAACAGGAUUAGAUACCCUGGUAGUCCACGCCGUAAACGAUGAGUGCUAAGUGUUAGGGGGUUUCCGCCCCUUAGUGCUGCAGCUAACGCAUUAAGCACUCCGCCUGGGGAGUACGGUCGCAAGACUGAAACUCAAAGGAAUUGACGGGGGCCCGCACAAGCGGUGGAGCAUGUGGUUUAAUUCGAAGCAACGCGAAGAACCUUACCAGGUCUUGACAUCCUCUGACAACCCUAGAGAUAGGGCUUUCCCUUCGGGGACAGAGUGACAGGUGGUGCAUGGUUGUCGUCAGCUCGUGUCGUGAGAUGUUGGGUUAAGUCCCGCAACGAGCGCAACCCUUGAUCUUAGUUGCCAGCAUUCAGUUGGGCACUCUAAGGUGACUGCCGGUGACAAACCGGAGGAAGGUGGGGAUGACGU